UCCCUGGUGGCUCAGUGGUAAAGAAUCUGCCUGCAAAGCAGAAGACGUGGGAUCCAUCCCUGGCUUGGGAA
Molecule: transfer RNA, 71 nt
Filed under: Bos taurus (domestic cattle)
Lineage: Eukaryota; Metazoa; Chordata; Mammalia; Artiodactyla; Bovidae
Also listed under: 3 other names
Rfam family: tRNA
About the family: Transfer RNA (tRNA) molecules are approximately 80 nucleotides in length. Their secondary structure includes four short double-helical elements and three loops (D, anti-codon, and T loops). Further hydrogen bonds mediate the characteristic L-shaped molecular structure. tRNAs have two regions of fundamental functional importance: the anti-codon, which is responsible for specific mRNA codon recognition, and the 3' end, to which the tRNAs corresponding amino acid is attached (by aminoacyl-tRNA synthetases). tRNAs cope with the degeneracy of the genetic code in two manners: having more than one tRNA (with a specific anti-codon) for a particular amino acid; and 'wobble' base-pairing, i.e. permitting non-standard base-pairing at the 3rd anti-codon position.
Source: Rfam by way of RNAcentral